Molecule: transfer RNA, 112 nt
Filed under: Aspergillus taichungensis
Lineage: Eukaryota; Fungi; Ascomycota; Eurotiomycetes; Eurotiales; Aspergillaceae
Description: tRNA-Phe
Rfam family: tRNA
About the family: Transfer RNA (tRNA) molecules are approximately 80 nucleotides in length. Their secondary structure includes four short double-helical elements and three loops (D, anti-codon, and T loops).
Source: RNAcentral
GGGACUAUGGCGCAGCUGGGAGCGCGUUAGACUGAAGAAUCAACUUCAGCCUCCUACUUCUACUGGAAGUAGUGUAAUCUAAAGGUCACCGGUUCGAUCCCGGUUGGUCCCA